CGGUGCCAAACCGGAGGAAGGUGGGGAUGACGUCAAGUCAUCAUGGUCCUUACGACUGGGGCUACACACGUGCUACAAUGGCCGGUACAGAGGGCUGCUACGUAGCAAUACGAUGCCAAUCCCUAAAGCCGGCCUCAGUUCGGAUUGUCGUCUGCAACUCGACGGCAUGAAGCUGGAAUCGCUAGUAAUCGCGGAUCAGCGACGCCGCGGUGAAUACGUUCCCGGGCCUUGUACACACCGCCCGUCACGCCAUGGAAGUUGUGAGCGCCCGAAGUCGGUGUCGGAACCCGCAAGGGACCAAGCCGCCUAAGGCGAGCGCAAUGACUGGGGCGAAGUCGUAACAAGGUAGCCGUAGGGGAACCUGCGGCUGGAUCACCUCCUUUCCGGAGCGAUGAGUAGACGGCCUCUUCGGAGGAUCCGCUGAAAGUCCCGGAUUUUGUCGUCCGCCUCGCACGUUCGCGAUCUCUGCUGGAUUUGUUGCGCUGCUCUGCGGAGUGGCGCUGCUAUUUGACAACGGAAGUGGGAAGUGAUCGUGGGUACUCCUGCCAGCAUACGCGGCGGUCGAAAGACCGACCCGGGUAUGGGUGGCAGCGAGGACGAAGAACCUCAGUGAGGCGUAGUACCGAUUCCGCGGAUCGCGAGAUCUGCGGUUCUGUUAACGCAUCACUCGUUCGAAAUAGCGCGUGCUUUGCUUGAACGAUUUGCACCAGAGGAUUACCCGAAAGGGUGGAUCGGCUGGGAACGAGUCAAGCGAACGAAGGUAUGCGGGGGAUACCUAGGCACACCAGAGGCGAAUUCUGCUAAAAACCUC
This 811-nucleotide ribosomal RNA is filed under the name uncultured Gemmatimonas sp. RNAcentral describes it as "partial 23S ribosomal RNA". The stretch from base 1 to 383 matches the Rfam family "Bacterial small subunit ribosomal RNA", at positions 1153 to 1533 of the family's 1533-position model. Lineage: Bacteria; Pseudomonadati; Gemmatimonadota; Gemmatimonadia; Gemmatimonadales; Gemmatimonadaceae. The record is from RNAcentral.